GAGUUCAAGAGUACGUGAAACUGUGUAGUGGUAAACGGAGGCGUGCUCGAAGUCUGAGCAGGAGGUUCAGGUUUUUUGCUGGGUGCUCUGGGCCAACUUGAUCUGUAAAGACAUUUGGCUCUCUGCGGCCCUUCAAAUUGCUGCACUUCUCUUGUUCUUCACACGACGAACUGCUGGCGGUGGACCGAGGGCGUGGGUGAAGUUGGGGACUUGUGCCCCAGCCCCGCGUUCCUGGCUCUGCCGCCGGCAGGUAAAGAGCGGGCUCGUAUAGCGAGUGUCUCACUGGCACGGCCCGCCUCUCUGUCGUGAGUAGGUCGGCGGCGCCUCCGACCCGUCUUGAAACACGGACC
Molecule: ribosomal RNA, 350 nt
Filed under: Microsetella rosea
Lineage: Eukaryota; Metazoa; Arthropoda; Copepoda; Harpacticoida; Ectinosomatidae
Description: partial 28S ribosomal RNA
Source: RNAcentral